AUGGAAAGACGCCAGUCCAGGCAGGUCCUGGAACUCAACUUCAGUGACUUCCCCCUCCCCAGGAGGCACACUCCGAGCUGGUGCCACGUGAUCCUGCUGCCACAGUGGAAGCUGAACCCUGAGACAGACCCCAGGGCACCAUGCUGCAGACCAGCUGCUUCUACUGCACCCUCAUCCACACACCACCUCAGCAGGUACAGUCCUGAAUCUGCCCUGGAAAUGGGUGCUGCCCCCUCCCCUUUGCCCCAAUCUCUUCUUUCACCAUGGCGCUGUGCCGGGGGUCCUCCCGCAAAUGCUGGUCCCUAGACAAGGCACAAGAAUGCCUUUGCUUCAUCUCAAAUUACAACAGCACUGAAACGCCCCGUUUUGGCCCUAUAUAUUUGCCCCAGUUUCUCUGUGUCUGGCUUCAAAACACCAGCCUCAAAGGCUAUUUCACCCCAAACACCAGGCCCAAUCCCCUCACAAUUUCAUUCCGAACUCCAGUCUCAAACCCUCACUACUUCAACCCCAAACUCUAGACCAACAAUGAGGUUGGGGUGGGAAGCACAGUCUACACCUGGAACAGAAUUCGGGACGAAAGAGAGGGCGAGGGUGGAAAGAGGUGCAGUGGGGGCUCAGUAGGUCUGUGGGAGAAGGUGCUGUGGGGGAAUCAUUGGGGGCUCAGUGGGGGGGCAGUGGGACAUGGAGGACAGUGAGGGGCUGCACUUUGUAGUGCUGUGGGUUGGUCCUGAGGUGAAGUUGAGGUACGGGGUGGAGUCCUCCUGCCUGCUGGGGGGGUGGUGGUGGUGGGUGAGGGCUCCGUGUAGGGCAUGGGGGGACAUAGGGAGCACAGGGGAGUCCAGAGGUUUUCCCCCACCUCACCAGGUGGCUACCCUCUCCAUGCUGUAGUGCACAGGGACCUUCAAUUUCACCAUGUUGUCACCCAGCACCUCUGGCGUGCCAGUGGGGCUGUGGGGACAGCCACAAUGGCCUUGGCCUUGCCCUCGCCCAGGCCUUAACCUCGCCCGUAACCUUAAUCCCAUAACUAGCAUAAGUUAUAACCCUAAUGGUCCUAAAAAUCAUUGUUAUAUCACUAUCCUGAAAAUCCACUAAAACUAAUCCAGACAAGUCACUGUAGAAGUAACAUUAACAGUAACCUCAGUCCUAAGAUAAUGCCAACUGUAACUGUAAUUGCCCUAUUUAUUAAUGUGUAAACCCUAUUUAAAAACGUAGCCAAACAUAAUGGUAAUAGGCCAAGUGUUUACUAAUGCUGACUACACUGGCCACUCUAACCACAGUAGAUGACAACUUGGAGGGCAACUCAUAG
RNAcentral lists this long non-coding RNA (1306 nucleotides) under Numida meleagris (helmeted guineafowl). RNAcentral describes it as "lncRNA (ENSNMEG00000019834.1)". Lineage: Eukaryota; Metazoa; Chordata; Aves; Galliformes; Numididae. The record is from RNAcentral.